GAUGAACGCUAGCGGGAGGCCUAACACAUGCAAGCCGAGCGGUAUUUGUUCUUCGGAACUGCGAGAGCGGCGCACGGGUGCGGAACACGUGUGCAACCUGCCUUUAUCUGGGGGAUAGCCUUUCGAAAGGAAGAUUAAUACCCCAUAAUAUAUUGAGUGGCAUCACUUGAUAUUGAAAACUCCGGUGGAUAGAGAUGGGCACGCGCAAGAUUAGAUAGUUGGUGAGGUAACGGCUCACCAAGUCAAUGAUCUUUAGGGGGCCUGAGAGGGUGAUCCCCCAGACUGGUACUGAGACACGGACCAGACUCCUACGGGAGGCAGCAGUGAGGAAUAUUGGACAAUGGGGUAGCGCCUGAUCCAGCCAUCCCGCGUGAAGGACGACGGCCCUAGGGGUUGUAAACUUCUUUUGGAUAGGGAUAAACCUACUCUCGUGAGAGUAGCUGAAGGUACUAUACGAAUAAGCACCGGCUAACUCCGUG
This 479-nucleotide ribosomal RNA is filed under the name uncultured bacterium. Its description in RNAcentral is "partial 16S ribosomal RNA". It matches the Rfam family "Bacterial small subunit ribosomal RNA", at positions 28 to 507 of the family's 1533-position model. The record is from RNAcentral.